GACGAACCGUGCGAACGUUGUUCGGAAUCACUGGGCGUAAAGGGUGCGUAGGCGGGUCUUUAAGUCAGGGGUGAAAUCCUGGAGCUCAACUCCAGAACUGCCUUUGAUACUGAAGAUCUUGAGUCCGGGAGAGGUGAGUGGAACUGCGAGUGUAGAGGUGAAAUUCGUAGAUAUUCGCAAGAACACCAGUGGCGAAGGCGGCUCACUGGCCCGGUACUGACGCUGAGGCACGAAAGCGUGGGGAGCAAACAGG
Molecule: ribosomal RNA, 253 nt
Filed under: uncultured bacterium
Lineage: Bacteria
Description: partial 16S ribosomal RNA
Rfam family: Bacterial small subunit ribosomal RNA
Source: RNAcentral